UUGAAUAUCGAGGUUGUCAGUGUCCUUCCGUAGAAGGACCUAACAGAGAAGCUCGUGAGAAGCGAGUGCGGACCCGCCGCUGUAAUUAGGGACGAACCCUGAUGUGACGCCACUGUUUCGUUAUAACGGGACGGGAAGGUUUCAGGAAGUAGGAUGAUCUAAGAGCCAGAAGACCUGCUGACAAUCACCGAACCUU
Molecule: non-coding RNA, 196 nt
Filed under: Chloroflexota bacterium
Lineage: Bacteria; Bacillati; Chloroflexota
Source: RNAcentral